Molecule: ribosomal RNA, 615 nt
Filed under: uncultured bacterium
Lineage: Bacteria
Description: bacterial SSU rRNA
Rfam family: Bacterial small subunit ribosomal RNA
Source: RNAcentral
UACCCUGGUAGUCCACGCCGUAAACGAUGUCGACCAGCCGUUGGGUGCCUAGCGCACUUUGUGGCGAAGUUAACGCGAUAAGUCGACCGCCUGGGGAGUACGGCCGCAAGGUUAAAACUCAAAUGAAUUGACGGGGGCCCGCACAAGCGGUGGAGCAUGUGGUUUAAUUCGAUGCAACGCGAAGAACCUUACCUACUCUUGACAUCCAGCGAAGCCUUUAGAGAUAGAGGCGUGCCUUCGGGAGCGCUGAGACAGGUGCUGCAUGGCUGUCGUCAGCUCGUGUUGUGAAAUGUUGGGUUAAGUCCCGCAACGAGCGCAACCCUUAUCCUUGUUUGCCAGCACAUAAUGGUGGGAACUCCAGGGAGACUGCCGGUGAUAAACCGGAGGAAGGUGGGGACGACGUCAAGUCAUCAUGGCCCUUACGAGUAGGGCUACACACGUGCUACAAUGGCAGAUACAGAGGGCAGCGAGACAGCGAUGUUUAGCGAAUCCCUUAAAGUUUGUCGUAGUCCGGAUUGGAGUCUGCAACUCGACUCCAUGAAGUCGGAAUCGCUAGUAAUCGUGGAUCAGAAUGCCACGGUGAAUACGUUCCCGGGCCUUGCACACACCGCCCGU